RNAcentral lists this non-coding RNA (31 nucleotides) under Rattus norvegicus (Norway rat). The record is from RNAcentral. Lineage: Eukaryota; Metazoa; Chordata; Mammalia; Rodentia; Muridae.
UUAACCACAAACUUGAGAGCCCAUUGUUCCU